AUGUGAAAUCCCGGGGCUCNNCCCCGGNAACUGCAUCUGAUACUGCCGUGCUAGAGUAAUGGAGAGGUAGCCGGAAUUAUCGGUGUAGCAGUGAAAUGCGUAGAUAUCGAUAGGAACACUCGUGGCGAAAGCGAGCUACUGGACAUUUACUGACGCUGAGGCUCGAAGGCUAGGGGAGCGAAAGGGAUUAGAUACCCCUGUAGUCCUAGCAGUAAACGGUGCACGCUUGGUGUGAGGGGAAUCGACCCCCCUUGUGCCGGAGCUAACGCGUUAAGCGUGCCGCCUGGGAAGUACGGUCGCAAGACUAAAACUCAAAGAAAUUGACGGGGACCCGCACAAGCGGUGGAGUAUGUGGCUUAAUUCGAUGCAACGCGAAGAACCUUACCAAGGCUUGACAUGCAUCUCUAAACACGUGAAAGCGUGUGACCCUUCGGGGAAUUUGCACAGGUGCUGCAUGGCCGUCGUCAGCUCGUGUCGUGAGAUGUUGGGUUAAGUCCCGCAACGAGCGCAACCCUUGUGAUUAGUUGCCAGCACGUAAUGGUGGGGACUCUAGUCAGACUGCCCAGAUCAACUGGGAGGAAGGUGGGGACGACGUCAGGUCAGUAUGGCCCUUACGCCUUGGGCUGCACACGUACUACAAUGCCCAGCACAAUGAGAACCGAUACCGCGAGGUGGAGGAAAUCUGUAAAACUGGGCCCAGUUCGGAUUGGAGACUGCAACUCGCCUCCAUGAAGUUGGAAUCGCUAGUAAUGGGGCAUCAUCUACGGCCCCGUGAAUACGUUCCCGGGUCUUGUACACACCGCCCGUCACAUCAUGGAAGCUGGUCGCACCCGAAGUGCUCGCGCCAACCGCAAGGAGGUAGAGCCCUAAGGUAAGGCUGGUAACUGGGAUGAAGUCGUAACAAGGUAACCAAGGGCGAA
RNAcentral lists this ribosomal RNA (920 nucleotides) under uncultured bacterium. RNAcentral's name for it is "bacterial SSU rRNA". It matches the Rfam family "Bacterial small subunit ribosomal RNA", at positions 592 to 1510 of the family's 1533-position model. The record is from RNAcentral.